This 468-nucleotide ribosomal RNA is filed under the name uncultured bacterium. RNAcentral describes it as "partial 16S ribosomal RNA". It matches the Rfam family "Bacterial small subunit ribosomal RNA", at positions 28 to 507 of the family's 1533-position model. The record is from RNAcentral.
GACGAACGCUGGCGGCGUGCUUAACACAUGCAAGUCGAACGGAAAGGCCCUGCUUUUGUGGGGUGCUCGAGUGGCGAACGGGUGAGUAACACGUGAGUAACCUGCCCUUGACUUUGGGAUAACUUCAGGAAACUGGGGCUAAUACCGGAUAGGAGCUCCUGCUGCAUGGUGGGGGUUGGAAAGUUUCGGCGGUUGGGGAUGUACUCGCGGCUUAUCAGCUUGUUGGUGGGGUAGUGGCUUACCAAGGCUUUGACGGGUAGCCGGCCUGAGAGGGUGACCGGCCACAUUGGGACUGAGAUACGGCCCAGACUCCUACGGGAGGCAGCAGUGGGGAAUAUUGCACAAUGGGCGGAAGCCUGGUGCAGCAACGCCGCGUGCGGGAUGACGGCCUUCGGGUUGUAAACCGCUUUCGCCUGUGACGAAGCGUGAGUGACGGUAAUGGGUAAAGAAGCACCGGCUAACUACGUG